CUCUGUAACUGGGAGGCAGGUGGAGGGUGGAACGAGCAAUGUGGCAGAGUCAUGACACAGCUCCUUUCUUCCUGAGCCCAUGGGACAGGGCGUGUGUGUGCCUCCUUGCCUCGCCUGCACGCCCCUGACCAUAGAAGACCACAUGGGACCAGACAGAGGACUGGAAGCCUCAGUGUCUCAAAAGUUGUUUUGCUUAUAUGAUUUUAUGCUUCAGCCAUGACAUUUUUAGUCCAUUUUUUAAAACAUAGCAAGCUUACGGCAAAAAUCCACUCAGCAGCAUGGAAAGCAGGGGAGGAUGAUUUCCUUCUUAAAGAUAAACUUUAAAAUCAGUACAUCCUAGAUCGGGGUAGGAAUAUUCAGCAUCCCCUUGAGAACAGAAGCAGUUCCCAGAACUGACUUUAAUUGGAACUGGAGGAAAGUCUUAGCAAUCUGAAAACUGCAUCCUGGAAAAAGGGGAACCGGAAGGCACGAUGUGUUAGCUGAGGAGAUGCUUGAGAACAGACCAUCACACACAGAAACCAGGGCUGGUCCUUCUGCAGAUCCGCCUGAGGUGAGGCAAUCUCAGUGUGCAAACUCCAUGGCCAGGUGUCCCCGAAAAGCCCCUCCCACAGGAACACAUCUGCAAAUCGGAUCACUUCUGCCCAUAUUCAGGGCCCCAUACAGAAUAGCCAAAGGUGGACCACGCCCAGAGAAUCUUCCAGGAUCUCCACAGAUGCCAAGCUGCCUGAUUAGCACCAGACAUGAUGGUGCACACUGUAAUCCCAGCACUCUGGGAGGCUGAAGCAGGAAGAAUGCAGAUUCAAGCCCAGCCUGGCAACUUGACUCAGACCUUGUCAAAAAAAAAAAAAAAAAAAAAAAAAAAGCCUGAUUAUGUGAUUCUGCAUACUGCUAUAGAAUUGCUAUAGGGUGGAACAGAGCUGCUUUGUGUAUGUGGGGGGGGGGUAAUCACAUUCUCUAUGACAAAAUGAAAACAUUGCAUGUCCUUCUCUAGGAGGGCACUCAGCACUGGGGGCAAGUACUCUUCACCCUCUUCCUGGAGGGUGUCCCUGCCACUGCAUGCUCCCAUGUGUACUGCACCAGCAGAUAGGGCUCCUCAUGUUCCCAGGACCGCUGAAGGCACCCACUCCUGCAGAGACCACCGUGCCCACCAGCAGCAGAACCCCAGGAUUCUGUCCUGGUCACUGCACUGUGCCUACACAAGGAGGAAGCCAGCAGGCGGCAAAAUUGGGCUGACACAGCUCUUCCUCGGUGUCAACCAGACCCACACUGCCAAACAGAAGAGCUUCCACUGUCAAUUUUAUUAUUCCUGCAAGCAUUUCAAAUGAAGCAAAAAAUUUACCAAAACAUACAAAAAUAUACUUUUUUUUAAAAAUUGCAAGUGGACAACAGAUUGAUGGAAUUGCUUUUCUGACUAUUCAGAAAAUUCAACAUUUGCUUAACAGUAACUGCAUUUGACACCAGCCACUGGAGCAGAGCCGCUGCCAGACAUUGAUGAGCAGGAGAAUUGCUGGCCACCUGUGCAGGCCACAGGAGGGGAGAGGACAGCAAGAAGGGGAGCAGCAGUGGGAGGAUCUCACAGCAGCCUGAUUUCGCAGUGAGCUACGUCCUGAGCAAUUUUU
Cavia porcellus (domestic guinea pig) is the source of this 1619-nucleotide long non-coding RNA. RefSeq lists it as uncharacterized. The transcript has 2 exons. The record is from RefSeq and is a predicted model, not a curated record. Lineage: Eukaryota; Metazoa; Chordata; Mammalia; Rodentia; Caviidae.